GAUGAACGCUGGCGGCGUGCCUAAUACAUGCAAGUCGAGCGAACAGACGAGGAGCUUGCUCCUCUGACGUUAGCGGCGGACGGGUGAGUAACACGUGGAUAACCUACCUAUAAGACUGGGAUAACUUCGGGAAACCGGAGCUAAUACCGGAUAAUAUAUUGAACCGCAUGGUUCAAUAGUGAAAGACGGUUUUGCUGUCACUUAUAGAUGGAUCCGCGCCGCAUUAGCUAGUUGGUAAGGUAACGGCUUACCAAGGCAACGAUGCGUAGCCGACCUGAGAGGGUGAUCGGCCACACUGGAACUGAGACACGGUCCAGACUCCUACGGGAGGCAGCAGUAGGGACUCUUCCGCAAUGGGCGAAAGCCUGACGGAGCAACGCCGCGUGAGUGCUGAAGGUCUUCGGAUCGUAAAACUCUGUUAUUAGGGAAGAACAAAUGUGUAAGUAACUAUGCACGUCUUGACGGUACCUAAUCAGAAAGCCACGGCUAACUACGUG
Molecule: ribosomal RNA, 497 nt
Filed under: uncultured bacterium
Lineage: Bacteria
Description: partial 16S ribosomal RNA
Rfam family: Bacterial small subunit ribosomal RNA
Source: RNAcentral